Molecule: ribosomal RNA, 253 nt
Filed under: uncultured bacterium
Lineage: Bacteria
Description: partial 16S ribosomal RNA
Rfam family: Bacterial small subunit ribosomal RNA
Source: RNAcentral
UACGUAGGGGGCGAGCGUUGUCCGGAUUUAUUGGGCGUAAAGAGCUCGUAGGCGGCUUAGCAAGUCUGGUGUGAAAGCCCUCGGCUUAACCGAGGAAGUGCGCCCAAAACUACUAGGCUUGAGUACCGGAGAGGAUGGUGGAAUUCCCGGUGUAGAGGUGAAAUUCGUAGAUAUUAGGAAGAACACCAGUGGCGAAGGCGGCUCACUGGCCCGGUACUGACGCUGAGGCGCGAAAGCGUGGGGAGCAAACAGG